GACGAACGCUGGCGGCGUGCUUAACACAUGCAAGUCGAACGGAAAGGCCCUUCGGGGUACUCGAGUGGCGAACGGGUGAGUAACACGUGGGUGAUCUGCCCUGCACUUUGGGAUAAGCCUGGGAAACUGGGUCUAAUACCGAAUACACCCUGCUGGUCGCAUGGCCUGGUGGGGGAAAGCUUUUGCGGUGUGGGAUGGGCCCGCGGCCUAUCAGCUUGUUGGUGAGGUUACGGCUCACCAAGGCGACGACGGGUAGCCGGCCUGAGAGGGUGACCGGCCACACUGGGACUGAGAUACGGCCCAGACUCCUACGGGAGGCAGCAGUGGGGAAUAUUGCACAAUGGGCGCAAGCCUGAUGCAGCGACGCCGCGUGAGGGAUGACGGCCUUCGGGUUGUAAACCUCUUUCGCCAGGGACGAAGCGCAAGUGACGGUACCUGGAGAAGAAGGACCGGCCAACUACGUGCCAGCAGCCGCGGUAAUACGUAGGGUCCGAGCGUUGUCCGGAAUUACUGGGCGUAAAGAGCUCGUAGGUGGUUUGUCGCGUUGUUCGUGAAAACUCACAGCUUAACUGUGGGCGUGCGGGCGAUACGGGCAGACUAGAGUACUGCAGGGGAGACUGGAAUUCCUGGUGUAGCGGUGGAAUGCGCAGAUAUCAGGAGGAACACCGGUGGCGAAGGCGGGUCUCUGGGCAGUAACUGACGCUGAGGAGCGAAAGCGUGGGGAGCGAACAGGAUUAGAUACCCUGGUAGUCCACGCCGUAAACGGUGGGUACUAGGUGUGGGUUUCCUUCCUUGGGAUCCGUGCCGUAGCUAACGCAUUAAGUACCCCGCCUGGGGAGUACGGCCGCAAGGCUAAAACUCAAAGAAAUUGACGGGGGCCCGCACAAGCGGCGGAGCAUGUGGAUUAAUUCGAUGCAACGCGAAGAACCUUACCUGGGUUUGACAUGCACAGGACGUGCCUAGAGAUAGGUAUUCCCUUGUGGCCUGUGUGCAGGUGGUGCAUGGCUGUCGUCAGCUCGUGUCGUGAGAUGUUGGGUUAAGUCCCGCAACGAGCGCAACCCUUAUCUUAUGUUGCCAGCGCGUAAUGGCGGGGACUCGUGAGAGACUGCCGGGGUCAACUCGGAGGAAGGUGGGGAUGACGUCAAGUCAUCAUGCCCCUUAUGUCCAGGGCUUCACACAUGCAACAAUGGCCGGUACAAAGGGCUGCGAUGCCGUGAGGUGGAGCGAAUCCUUGUUAAAGCCGGUCUCAGUUCGGAUCGGGGUCUGCAACUCGACCCCGUGAAGUCGGAGUCGCUAGUAAUCGCAGAUCAGCAACGCUGCGGUGAGUACGUUCCCGGGCCU
This 1341-nucleotide ribosomal RNA is filed under the name uncultured bacterium. RNAcentral describes it as "bacterial SSU rRNA". It matches the Rfam family "Bacterial small subunit ribosomal RNA", at positions 28 to 1381 of the family's 1533-position model. The record is from RNAcentral.